CAAGAAUCACAGAAGGGAACACGAGGGAGAGAAGCGCGGAACGCAGCCCGACGCAGGCGCCUGGGGGAAGUUGUGAAAACGGGAAGUUAGCAGGACCCGCGAGAUUUACAAGCUGACCGCGCACAUUCAUUUUCACCUCUGGUUUCUUUAGUACUGGCUGCCAAAGCCAACCCUCCAGUUCCUAGCCUUCUCCCUAAAAUGCUAUUUUUUAAUGGAAGGAGCGCAGCAUCUGACUCCAGGCCAAAUCUUUUCCCGACACUUACUAGCGUUUUCAUGCUGGGCAAAUCAAUAACUACUCUGAACCCCAGUUUUUUCAUCCAUCAAAUGGCGGUGAUACACUGCUUCUAACACAAGGCCGAGGCAGAACUGUCCCAGAGAAAAUGGAGUUGGAUCUCUGACCAGAGCUGAAAGGGAAAAAGUCUAUCCAACAACUAUAAAGACAGAUGAUUAGUCUGGAUCUCUUCAGUUCAACGAGGGAUUUGUAUCCAGAUAAACUCAGACGAUAUUCAAAAUGUGAAGUCUUUUUAGUCAGGAGUAGCUCCAGGCAUGGAACAGUUCAGAGACUUUUCACAGUUGAAGAUUCCAACGUUCUCCCCCUGCUGACUUCGGUGACAAGGUUACAAGCAAUAGACAGCUCCCUCCAACUGCUAGGUCUCAUUCAUUUCCUGAGUACACAGAAGAUACAGAAACACAGGAAAAUGAUGGCCCAUGUUUGCAGAGAUUCCUUGGUGCUCUGAGAUCGUAAUGAAGUCAUAGAGCAACAAGUUCUAUUCAGCAUCAAAGCAUUUUUCAGACUCUCCCCAUUCCUAUACACAUACACCAACACAGGGGAAAUUUGCAUGGGCUUACAUGGGUACCUACCAAGUGCCCAUCUUCCUGGGUCCCUGCUGCUUCUCCCAGGCACCCAGGAAUCACAAAGACAGGAGAGGCACUGUGCAGGAAAGUGGGCUGUGGGGUACCUGGUGGGAUAAUGCCGAUUUUAUUCUGCUAAGGAGGAAAAUGUGUUAAUAAACGCCUGUGACAUUUAAUGAUGUGGCUUUCA
Molecule: long non-coding RNA, 1042 nt
Filed under: Monodelphis domestica (gray short-tailed opossum)
Lineage: Eukaryota; Metazoa; Chordata; Mammalia; Didelphimorphia; Didelphidae
Description: lncRNA (ENSMODG00000036127.2)
Source: RNAcentral